Sapajus apella (tufted capuchin) is the source of this 2454-nucleotide long non-coding RNA. RefSeq lists it as uncharacterized. Lineage: Eukaryota; Metazoa; Chordata; Mammalia; Primates; Cebidae. The record is from RefSeq and is a predicted model, not a curated record. The transcript has 2 exons.
UUUAAGCUUUCUUUCCAUAUUUUAUAGAAUUUGUUAAUUUGUUUUUUGUUUUGCUAGUACUUGGAGGCCAACAGGAAGUGACAAAAGCAAAUGGGUAAAAGACUGAAAAAUAAAGUAUUCUUAACCUGAUGUAAACUUUCUUCACGAUCUGGCCCCAUGUGCAUUUCCAACUUUACCUCUGGACCAGAUUAAUUUGCCAUUGCGAUCUUCUCAACUCAGAAGUACUUAAUAAUCAUAUUCUAAUCAAAUCUACCCAGAGUGUCUAUAGAAGUUGCUAUUUAAUUUACUGGGAUUUUACAGCUCCUAUUUGUAUAAAUUUAUAAUUGAACUUACUAUAUGUUUGCAUAGUUUAUGUCUAAAAGAUAUUUCCCCCACUCUCAGUCUGAAUGAGCAAAGAACAUGCGUUUAAUCCUUCUGUACCUAUUGACUAGUGACUAAAAUGAAGUUAACAGAAUCAGCAAAUACAUGUUUAACUAGCAAAUGAAAGUUCAAUGAACUAAUACUACGUGAUUUUCUUAUUAGUAGUACCAUCUUGGUCAAGUCUCUCAACUUUUUUGUGUCUUUCUUUACUUACUUGCAAAAUGUAUAUAACAAUUAUUGCCUUCCCCUUUUAAAAUGUCACAAUAUUUUGGUAUCAAAAUUAGAAAAAUGGUUACAAAGGUAUUUAUAAAUGUAAGGUAUUGUGUAUAGAAAAUAGAUCAUUUUGAAUGUUUCGAGCUUAUAGUUUUACUAAAUUUUCAGAUAGCCACACAGGCAUGUGUGAGUACACACACAAGAUAGCCCAUGAAUAAAAUGAAAUGUUGCUGUAUUUCCUAUCUUUAUUGAUUCUUAUGUUUAUCAAUGUGUGGAAAACGUAUCAGCUUCGCUGAUUUGGUAGCCCUAUACUUGAAUGCUAUCAUGGGGGAGACAGUUACUCCACUUGACAAUACGUUUUAAAUCAUCGCUAUUGUUUUCUUAGAUUUUAAAUUCUUGAAAGAUGAUAAGUACAGCUCCAUAUAGUGUGCAAUACAUUAUUAUACAAAAACAGUCAAUACCAAGCAUCUUUGAUAGUGAUAAUAACUUUCUGAAUGGUAAUAAGCAUGGUCAGAAGCAAUAAAAAGUCGAUAAUUAAUUAGAAAAGUCAGGCAACAGUCCUUACCAUCCCCACUGCAAAAUUCCUACACAGAGAGGUAUGCAUUUUAGCUUGUAAAACAUUAUUUACCAAUCCUUGAAAUUGGACCAGUCAGGAAUACUACACUUGUUGCAUAACUUGAGUGCUCUGGUAUUUUGUCAUUGUUUUGUAUAUGAACUAACCAACACUUUUGGCAAUACUGCAAACUUAAAUUUUACAAAUGAUAUGCAUGGCAGAAAUGUGACUUUAUUGCUGUUGCAAGCUAUCUUUUAGAUGCCUUUAUGCCAAGUGACAUAAUGAAAGUUUAAAUUAAAAAAGUUAAAGUUGACAAAUGAUAAGACUACAGAGAUGAUGUAACUGUAUGGCAAAGUUUUCGUCAUUUAUUGGUUUCCCGAUGCCAUCUCAGUACUAUUGCUCAUGUUACUGAUGAAUUUAUGCUAUAUAAAGCACACCUCAAUCAAAUUCAGGAGAGUUAGCAGAAAAAUAUUUUUCAUCAAGGAUGGAAUUGACAAGUACAAAUUCUGUGGAAACUGUCUGAUAAGCUUCAGAAACGGCACUCUACAAUUUUAGGAUUUCAAAAAGACAGCAUUAUCAGGAAGAAAAACAAGAGUUAUUGUCAUUUAUCUUUGGUUGUUUUAAUGAAUUAUACAAACACAGUUUAACUCUGAGAAUUUUGUGCAUAUUAUUUGCAUUUUGUUGAUGGCGCUCUCAGCAAAGAAACUUUGGCUAAGCUGUAAAGCAGCCCUCUGAAUGAAUCAUACAACCUGCAAAGAGCUGUACUAAAUAUAUCCCUAUAUAUGACAAAAGCUUCAAGUCUUUCCUAACAUUUAUAUUAUUGAUACAAAUCAACAUAGAGAUCAGAGAGUUUUAAAAGUAAUGCAUGCACAAGGGAAUGGGCCUAAAGGAAGGGUGACAGUGGAGCAGCUUUGGGCUCACUAUUUGGCACAGCAGGGUUGCAUUCCUAUGUUAAUUGUAAACAACUAAAACAUACGUGUAUUUAAGCUAUCCUGCCAAGUACCGUACCAAGAAAGCUACUUGCAAAGCGAGGCGUCUCCAGCAUCAGAAAAAUCUGGGGAGCAGUAAGAAUGGUGGAAGAUGAUGACCCAAACUUAAAUGUGCAGUUGAUCCACAAGAGACCGCAAUCCUGCCAUGCCAAACAGUAGGAGGAGUUUAGAGGAGAAUGAACUGGACUGUGAGCCUUUCAUGAACUUCUCAAAAAACAGGAACAUGAGGCGAAAUGGUGAGGAAAACCCACAAUUCAAUCUACUACAACACGGUAAGCAUUUCCAGCUUUAAACCAUGAAGAAAAAUAAAUUGAGAAUUAGUGAAAAAAAAAAAAGAAA